Molecule: unclassified non-coding RNA, 357 nt
Filed under: uncultured Venturiaceae
Lineage: Eukaryota; Fungi; Ascomycota; Dothideomycetes; Venturiales; Venturiaceae
Description: sequence contains ITS2
Rfam family: 5.8S ribosomal RNA (bases 1-154)
Source: RNAcentral
AACUUUCAACAACGGAUCUCUUGGUUCUGGCAACGAUGAAGAACGCAGCGAAAUGCGAUAAGUAAUGUGAAUUGCAGAAUUCAGUGAAUCAUCGAAUCUUUGAACGCACAUUGCGCCCCCUGGUAUUCCGGGGGGCACGCCUGUUCGAGCGCCAUUUCAACCCUCAAGCCCCGCUUGGUGAUGGGCCCUGCCUGCUGGCGGGCUCGAAACUCGUGGGCGCCGUCGUUCGGCUCCAAGCGUAGCAAAACCCUCGCUCGGACGCCCGGACGGUGGCCGCCAGGAACGAAUUCUUACAAGGUUGGCCUCGGAUCAGGUGGGGAUACCCGCUGAACUUAAGCAUAUCAAUAAGCGGAGGCU